Molecule: transfer RNA, 83 nt
Filed under: Suillus luteus UH-Slu-Lm8-n1
Lineage: Eukaryota; Fungi; Basidiomycota; Agaricomycetes; Boletales; Suillaceae
Rfam family: tRNA
About the family: Transfer RNA (tRNA) molecules are approximately 80 nucleotides in length. Their secondary structure includes four short double-helical elements and three loops (D, anti-codon, and T loops).
Source: Rfam by way of RNAcentral
UCGGAUAUGGUGUAAUGGUUAACAUUACCGCCUCUCACACCUAGGAUUCGCGGUAGCUCGGGGUUCGAUUCCCCGUAUCCGAA